UGGGCCAUAAUUGUUCAGUAACUGUUGUGGAGUUAUAUUUUCAAAUGGUCAUUCAGUUUCUUCUUCUACAAUAGAAAACUAAAGCGUGUAGUGAGUUUAAGCUUUUGCUGCUUAAGUAACUUAGUGGUUGAUGGUUUUGCUGCUGACUACUUGUCUUACGAGGAAGAUGGUGAAAUAUUUGAUAACAUGGAUAUAUGAUCACUUGCAUACUGCUUGUACAAUGUGUCAAUACCUUUUGACAUCAGUCUGCACUUAGUUAUGUUCUGUAGCAUAUUUUCUACUUUGCUGUGUAUAUGUCGUUUAUUUUACCCAGACUCAGAUUUGUUCUACCUGGAUAUGUUGUCUUUUAAGUGUUUUCUUACCCAGAUCCAUUCUUUCUAAUAAAAUCUCAAAUUAUGUUUCCUAUUUUAUUUAAAUGGGUUCGGUUUUUAUGUUAUCCAUUUCUCCUACUUUUUGAAUUGAUACUUCUUUCAGGAAAAGGAAGAAAAAAAAUCCUUGCUUCCUGUUUGUUAUAUAUAAAAUCUCAAUUUUGGAAGUAGUUGUGAAAUUUGUUUGUUAAAAGGCCGUAGAUAAUAUUCUACCUGCCUGUGGGGAAAGAUGACAAAUAUUCUCCACAAAUUACAAACAGUUAUCUUUCCAUAGGAUUUAAGUAGUUUGGUUGGAAAGAAAAAAAUAAAUUCGCCUUUGAAAUUAUCUAAUAGUGCUACCGGGUGGAUACUUGUACACUAAUCUCUGACAAGUAUUUAGGAGUAUUGGAAUUUGAAAAUUGCAGAGACUAGCUCAGCAUCAGCCAACACAGUACCCAACAUUGGAAGAACUAAGCAUAGGAAUGAUCAAAUUCAAGGCCUUUGAUUUGGGUUGUCAUCAGAUUGCUCGUAGGGUCUGGAAGGACUAUUACGCCAAGGUUAGAAGGGAGAAAAUCAGUGAAAGAAUGAAGUAUCUGCAAGAUUUAGUACCAGGAUGUAACAAAAUCACAGACAAAGCUGGUAUGCUGAAUGAAAUCAUCAAUUAUGUUCAAUCUCUUCAACGGCAAGUAGAGGUAAAAAAAUAAUGGAGAAAGAACAUAUGGAUUUGUGUUUAAAGGAAAAACAGAAACUACUUUCAUACAAUUCAAACACAUAUAUAGAGUAGAAAAAGAAGGGUUUUCACUUACCAGAUCAAAGUUGAGAACAAGAUUGAUAGGAUGAGUAGAAAAAUAUAGCUUCUUUGAGAGUCUGCUCUGCUGUUACGGUGGAGUUUUGUUACUGUCAAUUGAAGAGCAGGGUUUUUUGCAUUUUGGGAAUGAAAUUAACUUAAUUUUUAAGGAUAAAAUGGUAAAAUAAUAAAUAAAAGU
Molecule: RNA transcript, 1333 nt
Organism: Gossypium raimondii (Peruvian cotton)
Lineage: Eukaryota; Viridiplantae; Streptophyta; Magnoliopsida; Malvales; Malvaceae
Exons: 3
Source: RefSeq, a predicted model, not a curated record